Drosophila gunungcola (fruit fly) is the source of this 1097-nucleotide long non-coding RNA. RefSeq lists it as uncharacterized. NCBI's taxonomy places the organism in Eukaryota, Metazoa, Arthropoda, Insecta, Diptera, Drosophilidae. The transcript has 3 exons. The record is from RefSeq and is a predicted model, not a curated record.
GAAAAGCUAUAUUACAAAUUGAAUACAUUUUAGUAAAGUGUGAAUUGGGUUUUUCUGAUCUAAAUCCAACAGUAAUACUCAUCUGAUGAUGCUGUAUCGAGUCACACUUUUCUAACACUUCCUUAAUAACAAAGUCAAGUAAGGCCAAAGACCCUACUUAAUGGUAAAGAUCCUUAGAGUAUACAUUUUUUUGACGCAACAAGUACGAAAAAAAAACAAUAACCGCAUUCCCCAUGAGUAAGAGUCAUGAGACAUCACAAAUUUUAACGUAAGUAACAUCAUUACCAGUUUGGAACUCAAAUACGACGGAUAGAAUGAGAACCUACUCCCUGAUAUUCUUCAUCAUAAACGAAGUGCUCCUAGUCAAGGGACAAUAUAACGAGCACAAUACUAAUCCUCAAUUAAAACACUUUGGAACACCAUUAAUUGAUAAUUCUUAUAAGCAACUUUAUGCAGUUUUAGGAACUCCCAUUCGUCUUCCACAGGAAAGUAUGCCUAAGGAAAAGCGUUUCAAAAGAAGUAGCUUAGGUGGAAAACUAUAUUACGAUCACAAGGGUAAACCAAGAACAAGAAAGAAGCCACGGAUUCGAGUGAACAGACAAAUGGAAAAUGCUCAAAAAAAUUGGUUUUGGAACUUAUUUUCAUAACGAAGGUUUACCAGCGAAAAAUUUCAUCAGACCAUGUAAAUAUAAGUCCGUUUGUGAAUAAUUGACCUCACUUCUGGAAAAAAACCCAGUGGUUACUCAUGAAAUUUUAUAACUAAUAAAGAGCUAUUGCGAUCUAAAACUUCUUGGGUCAUUCUUGAUUUUUUUUGUAUUUUAAUUGCAGGAUUUUCUUUAGUUAUUGAACUUCCACUGUUUUUAAGUUUCAAAAUUUCACCUUAUAAUUUUUUAAGGAUCUUUGAUCAUCUUAAAAAAGGAUAAUAUAUACAAAUCAAAUUUCUCUGCGAAGACCAGCUUCACCUGAGACGCACUUAAGAUCAAUGAUCGAGAAAUCACCUCAAACUUAUCUCGGUGCUUUUCCGCUGUCCUCAACUUGUUAAUAAGAUGGAAAAACAUGAUAACAUCUUAAUUGACCAAUCGCAAUUGGUACACGCA